AUUCUGAGAAACCUUCCAGUUUUAAUUACGGUUAAAACAUGACAAUUUUCAUCUGUUGUAGUGAAAUUCUUUCCUCUUUUCCUCAAGAGUCACAUUUUGAAGAUCACCAUCAGCAUACCAUGUCGAGUGCAGUGAGUAAGAGAAGCCUGAAAAACGACGUUAGACAAGAACAGUGAUGCUUAUCUAAACAUCUAUUUCUGCAGAAUUUCCCCUCCCAAAGCAAAGAACAAUACUUUCCCCUGGCAGCGUAUAUUUGGCUCGGUACCCGAAGAAACUAAUGAUAGUGUAAACAGAAGCCAGGAUACGAACAAUAGCUUAAAAGAGCUCCCAUGUUUUCUCUCAGGAAAUCCUAGGGGUCUGCUAGACUAAUAGUGCCUGGUGGCUGUUAGAUGAGAAUUCACGGUGCAACUCCUAUGCUGGAUGGAGAUGAGGUGAGGAUGGAUGUGUCAGUGCAGGGAUACUGUGCUACGUGGACCUGUGGAUCCGAUGGCCCAGGCAAUUGCUGCCAAGCCUGUGUGCCAGAAACAAAAUUUCUGCGGGAUCUGUGAGCAGCUUGAGAAAUCUCUCUGUUAUUCCAUGAGAACUGAUAUUAAGGGCUGUGGUGGAUGAAUCUUAUCAAAAGCCUUCUGCAAAUCCAAGCACAAGAUCCAGAUCAGCUCACCACAUAUAUGAACUGAUUUAUGCCAUUACAGAUGAGUCUGGUGUUCCCUCUACAAAAGCUGUACAUCUGCUAAUUUUGUUUUCUGUUGUAGUUUCUAUUGACUUGCUUGAUGCCAAAAUCAAAUUUAGUGACCUGUAUUUCCCCAGAUUUUGCAAGGAUCCCUUUGAAAGAUUGACAUAGUUGCCAUAAUCCUUCUUUUCUUUUCUUUUUUUUUUUUGGUGCUGAAACCACUUUAAGCAAUAGCUUACAUUUCUCUUAGAAGUUCAAAAAAUGUCAUAUUUAAUUUCCUUUAACUUUAAAAUAUUUCUAUUAGUAUGUUUUUAUGCUUCCUCUAACUUGCUUCUCCACAAUUGUUUUUUCGGAUGCUUUAAUUUGGGUCAACAUUAAACAUGUCAGAAUUUAUGCUGCUUUUUC
Molecule: long non-coding RNA, 1075 nt
Filed under: Apteryx rowi (Okarito brown kiwi)
Lineage: Eukaryota; Metazoa; Chordata; Aves; Apterygiformes; Apterygidae
Description: lncRNA (ENSARWG00000004817.1)
Source: RNAcentral